RNAcentral lists this transfer RNA (69 nucleotides) under Ictidomys tridecemlineatus (thirteen-lined ground squirrel). Its description in RNAcentral is "Spermophilus tridecemlineatus (thirteen-lined ground squirrel) tRNA". It matches the Rfam family "tRNA". Rfam says of the family: Transfer RNA (tRNA) molecules are approximately 80 nucleotides in length. Their secondary structure includes four short double-helical elements and three loops (D, anti-codon, and T loops). Lineage: Eukaryota; Metazoa; Chordata; Mammalia; Rodentia; Sciuridae. The record is from Rfam by way of RNAcentral.
GGGGUUGUAGCUCAGUGGUAGAGUGCUUGCCUUGCAUGCAUGAGGUCCUGGGUUCAAUCCUCAGCACCA